This 468-nucleotide ribosomal RNA is filed under the name uncultured bacterium. RNAcentral describes it as "bacterial SSU rRNA". It matches the Rfam family "Bacterial small subunit ribosomal RNA", at positions 329 to 793 of the family's 1533-position model. The record is from RNAcentral.
AACCAGACUCCUACGGGAGGCAGCAGUGAGGAAUAUUGGUCAAUGGGCGCGAGCCUGAACCAGCCAAGUCGCGUGAGGGAUGACGGCCCUACGGGUUGUAAACCUCUUUUGUCGGGGAGCAAAUUCCGUUACGUGUAACGGAGUCGAGAGUACCCGAAGAAAAAGCAUCGGCUAACUCCGUGCCAGCAGCCGCGGUAAUACGGAGGAUGCGAGCGUUAUCCGGAUUUAUUGGGUUUAAAGGGUGCGUAGGCGGUCAGGUAAGUUAGAGGUGAAAGCUCGAUGCUCAACAUCGAAACUGCCUCUGAUACUGUCUGACUAGAGUGUAGUUGCGGAAGGCGGAAUGUGUGGUGUAGCGGUGAAAUGCUUAGAUAUCGCACAGAACACCGAUUGCGAAGGCAGCUUUCCAAGCUAUUACUGACGCUGAGGCACGAAAGCGUGGGGAGCGAACAGGAUUAGAUACCCCUGUAC